CCCGCACAAGCGGUGGAGUAUGUGGUUUAAUUCGACGCAACGCGCAGAACCUUACCUAGACUUGACAUCCCGGGGAUUUUCUGGAAACAGAGAAGUGCUUUAGCAAUAAAGAACCCGGUGACAGGUGCUGCAUGGCUGUCGUCAGCUCGUGCCGUGAGGUGUCGGGUUAAGUCCCAUAACGAGCGCAACCCUUAUCGUUAGUUGCCAGCUGGUAAAGCAGGGGACUCUAGCGAAACUGCCACCGUAAGGUGAGAGGAAGGUGGGAUGACGUCAAAUCAGCACGGCCCUUAUGUCCAGGGCUACACACGUGUUACAAUGGCCGGCACAGAGGGCAGCUACCUGGUGACAGGAUGCUAAUCUCGAAAACCGGUCUCAGUUCGGAUCGAAGUCUGCAACUCGACUUCGUGAAGCUGGAUUCGCUAGUAAUCGCGCAUCAGCCAUGGCGCGGUGAAUACGUUCCCGGGCCUU
This 468-nucleotide ribosomal RNA is filed under the name uncultured Sphingobacteriales bacterium. RNAcentral describes it as "bacterial SSU rRNA". It matches the Rfam family "Bacterial small subunit ribosomal RNA", at positions 920 to 1382 of the family's 1533-position model. The record is from RNAcentral. Lineage: Bacteria; Pseudomonadati; Bacteroidota; Sphingobacteriia; Sphingobacteriales.